Molecule: long non-coding RNA, 1405 nt
Filed under: Volvox carteri
Lineage: Eukaryota; Viridiplantae; Chlorophyta; Chlorophyceae; Chlamydomonadales; Volvocaceae
Description: long non-coding RNA (VCAR_LNC002896)
Source: RNAcentral
UCACAUGCAUACGAGCCUGAUUAUGAUGCCAUCGAGCCCUGAUGGGAGCGCCGCAAGGGCAAAAUAAGGGCCAGGCAGGGGCCAGGCGGACCGCCACAACAGCCGUCAAACAGACCCACACACGUUACACAAUAGCAUAGCGUGAUAAACGACACGACUGGGAUCCCGGUUACAACUGAUUAUACCUCUAACAGCAUAAGUGCCCUAUUACAGGACGCGGCGAUGCGUUGAGUGUAGAGUAGAAUGGCGGUGCAGCGGCUGCAAGGGACGAGAGGAAGGGGUGUUAAUUUAGCUGGCUGGGGCUGAAGUUUGGGUGCUAUUAGAUGGAGUUGGUAAGUUUCACAGCUGAUCACGAUUGCGGUGGUUGGUGUGUUGAAGUGGUAACCAUGGUUGGCCAGGUUUCAGGCAGAGUCGUCCAUCCUUGAUUGGUCGGGGAGGACGAAUAGGCAGCCAUGUGCGCAAACCACAAAAUAUAAUGGUGCGGAGCUAAGGCCAGUCUGUGCGGUACAAAGGACGUGAUUGAAACAACCAGCUGUUCCAGGCCGCGCGGUACAGGUACACGCUGAUGCGUGACAUGUUCAGUCAGCAUGGAAGCUUCAGGGAACGGGCUAAGCUUAAAAUCCGGGUGGGAUACUUGGCGUUAUGAAUAUGGUGGUGUACAGGAAAUCCAAUGGGGAGCAACGAAAAGGAUGCCCGUAUCUCGCGCUAGGAUGGCGGUGGCUACUGUACGCACUUGCAGAGGGAAGCCAGCGGAACCAGGAUCUGUCUGAGGAGUUCAUUGGUCUUUGCCUGUUCUGAGCGAAUUUCCUCCAGCUCUUUGAGAACCUGCGGUGCUAGAGCGCCGCCAACUCCAGGCUCCGUUUUUUGACUUUGGCUGGCCAUGCUGACCGGAAACAUAUGAUCACAAGAUGCGUUCUUCUGCAUUAUUCAUCAUUUUUAACAUUGCACGAUAUCGUGCGUACUUUUAUAACAACAAGCGAGUAUCGCGCGAAGGCGUCUUAUUACAGCCAGUGGGUAAACGACCGCCCUGUACAGAUGUUGACUUCGCACUCUCUGCUAUAGCUUACUUGUAAAUAACAUAUCCAGGGUUCAGCUGGCUAUGAAGUUGAGGGAUUUAAGAUACUGUAUUCAUAUUAUUCGGUACAACUGUCGUCAAUCCGCUAUGGGCCUGCAGCGCCACUCUAAUUCUUACUCGUCAAUGACUAGGUCAUACGAGAUACUUUACAUUUUACAAUCAUUAGGGAGAUUCAUUAUGUAGGACUAGCACGAAAUGAAUCUUGGCUUCUUCUGCUUAGCUGUCCCUUUCCGGUGGCUUUGGUAAAUUCCUGUAAUUUCAGGCGUUACAUCCAGUACCUGUACUGUACCUGGCCUUGAAGUUACCUAGAAAUGCCUUUGUUAACCCAAC